CAGCCUUCACCUAUGCUCUGAAACUGCACCUCAGAUCUGAGAAAAAUGUGCCCGCCUGGUCCUUGACUUAGAUAUCACUAAAGAUCUGGCCAUCAGCCUCUUCCUGAUGCCAGACACAAGUCAGGUGAGUAACCUGCUUCUCCAGUUGGGCAGGACUUUGGGAUUCCCCUGGAUGAGACUCCUGGGUAGGAUAGAUCCCCUGAUAUUACUGUUGGAUCACACCGAAUGAGAUAACCAAAUUUUCCUUCUCAUGGUGCCACUUACAAAGGGCUUCUGAAUAAUUAUCUGUUUGAUCCUUACACCAACCCUAGGAGGUGAAGCUACUAAUGUUAUCCCCAAUUUAAAGAUGUGAAAACUGAGACUCACGGAAACUAGGUGACUUGUCUAGGGUCACACAGCCAGGAAACGUCAAGGACCGGCUCUUCAGGGAAGGACAUCCCCACAACCAGGACCCCUGGCAAAGAGGAAUUAAAGACCCAGUUGUGUUGUGAUGUUCAUUAUUCAGAUCUCGGAGCGCUCACGGAUCUCUUGGAUGUCCCCUGCCAGCUCAACUGAUGAGACUGCUACUUUAUGUACCACUGCUUGAAAAAGAAGGGAAUCUCCUAUUUCUCACACAGGAUAACAGUUGAGAGUCAUUGCCACAAUAAAACAGACAUGUUAGCGGUCAGGUUCAUAUAAGGACUAAGCGGCCCCAUGAAUCACAUAGGACUGGCUAAUCCUAGGACACUCCUCUCUGUGGUUUGCUAGGUAGCAGAGAGGGGAAGCUAAAUAGUAGUUUCUAAUAACAACUGGGAAGGCUUUUUCUUUUUAAAUAAAAAUGGAAUUGGCAUAAUUGGGAAUGAAGAUAAAGCUUGGAACCAAGUUAGAGAAGGCAAAGUGUACGUAGAAGAGCUGUUACAAAUAUAAAACUUGGCUGCGUUCUUUGUGAAGGCUCAAACUUGGGAAGGUUAAAUACCAUAAAUUUUUUCAUUUGUUCUGUAUUUUGAUCCUGAAAAGAAAGCUGGCUUUGCCCAUGUAUUACUUUAAAAACUUGGGGGAAAGGAGAAGAAAGGGACAAGUUUUUAAAAACUGUUUGAAAACAUUACAGCUGAAAGAAGCUACAUAGGAGCUGGGUAGAGAACCUAGUGACUAAGAGAAUGAGGAAUGCCGAGUACGCAUCCUGUGGGCGGGGCUCUACCCUUGCCGCUUUCAGGUACGGGAAUCUUGACACCAAACAUGUUCUCACAUGCAUGGUGGUGUGAAUGAUUUGAAGGAAUUUGUAGUUAGUAUAAGGAAGAACCUGGAACAUGUUUAAUGAUUUACCCCAGGAGAUCAUAAUAAACAAUGUAAAAUUUGGGAGACAUCUCUGAGUUCCCUGGCUCUUGCAGAAUUCAGCUGGGCAGUCAGAACCAGUACUGUGCCCUCGGGUAUGUCUCUGGAAGUCCCAGGAAGAUAAGAGAUAUCUAGACAUGAGACUUGGUUGAGGCAACCCUACUCACCAGCUAUGCUCCCAAUCAAAAUGCCCUCCUUCUAAUUCUAUUAGAAUUAUUCCCACACUUACUGCAUUCUCAUAUUCUCAGAAGCACGCACACACACACACACAAACAACCUUCCAUGCUUCCAAGUUUAAAUGACUCCUGUUAACUCCUAGUUGCCUUUAAGGGCUCAGCCAAAACCUCACCUUUUCAGGGGCCCCCUUGAUUCCUCAAACAUGGUCAGGGCCACCCAUGGACUCUGAUACUGCCCUAUAGACCUCUCAGUGGCACUCAUAGCACUUCCUUUGUCCCCAUCUCAGCGUGUUUUGUCUGAUCCCACAAUGCAGGUAUGGAUGCCCGUCCACCCCAAUAUACCUCUCACUGGAUUCUCUUGGCCUUGCAGGCAUCUUGGGGUGGUCAGUGGAAGGAUCCCCAGAAGGAUGUGGAGGCUGUGUGCCUCCUAGGUGGAAGUGGGAAUCAAGCUGGGCAUUGGAACCAUGGGGAUUGGGCUUAGAGAAGAAAGUCGCUGAUUUUGUGAGCUCAACCACACAGCACCAUCUUCCCAGCAGUGAUAAGGCCUCUGAUGGAGAGCUGCUAAGGUGCUGUGAAGUCCAGACACUAAGCCUGUGAACUUGGGUCCCUCAAUGGGGGCUUGCCAUAGUCAAGCAUAGAAGGAGGGGCUCCUCCACAGAGGCCAGCCCCUGUGGGAGCCACCCAGUCUGAGGAAUAGGGCUCUAUCUCAUUUUCCUGGAUGACAUCACCCAGGAAUAGCAGGGAUCAAUGGAUGAACAUCAACAGCCUGGGCUUCUCAAGCCAGAUUUAAUUUUUCAAGCCAGAUUUAAAAGGUCUUUUCUUUCAUCUAAAUUUAUAACUAUUAUGCCCAUAGCACAAGUAUAAUUACAUAAGGACUUCCAAAAUUGUUAGUUUUCAUGUCUACCUUCCUCUGUUAGAAGUGUAUAUACCUAGCACAAAGUCCAGAAGGUGCUUGAUUCUCAAUCAAUAUUCAUUCAAUGAAUGAGUGAACUAAUCCUUGAAACUCCUUAAAUCUUCCAAUAAUCCCAAGCCCUUUUGUUGGAACCUUUGACCAAAACAAAGUCAUAAAACCACCACUACCCCACAUGUCUUUGGGAACUAGUCUAUGUUAGCCCUGCAAGUCUGAAAGCUUAGCUUUGUUUUGUUUUGUUUUUAUUUUUAAAUUUUUUUUUUCCUACAGCGUCACUCUCAGGAUAUGACAGCAUCACUUUUGAAAAACAGGUUGUUGUUUUUUUUUUUAAAAAGGUAAGAAGACAACAAGGAGUCGGCCUCACACACUAUGGAUUAGAUUUCUUAAUCAAGUGUUCACCUUCCACCUCUCGUGGUCCUACCAUAUCACCCUUUUCUCUUGUGUUUUUCCAGAUUUAACUGCCUGAUCAAAUAGUUUUACAAGAAUAAACUCAGGAAACAGGUUGAGAAAUGAGCAGCUGAGACUGGAGUGUUCACUUUGCAAAGAACAUACUACGAAAAGAUCUGCACUCUAGGAGGUCUCAGCUGAUGAGGAAGAUGCUAGCACAGUGUCCUAUGGUCAGAAAAGAUGACCUGGCAAGAGGGGGAGUGGAGGAGAGGCAGGAAAGGGGAUCCCUUCAUGCUGAAAUCAAUGCAAUGAUGUCUGAUAUAUACAGAAAAACAGGUCUUGUAUAAAUAUGUCAUUAUAAGUGACAAGAUAAUAACAUUUUCUAGUGUAUGGAUUCUAUUUCUUUAUGUCAUUCUGGUCAACCAAAAACAAUCCUAUUUGGCAGAUUUCUGGCAUUUUGCCUCUUCCCCUAAUGACAGAUCUAAACACAUAUAUAAAAAUAGGUGGCCACAAAGAAAUAACUUCUGGCUUUAAAUGUCAUUUGGCUAGAAAUGUCUCAGGCAGCCUCUCCCAACUUUCCUGUGAUAUCUUUGAAAACAAAGAGAAAGACAAGAACUCAAAACAAGCACCAGAAACUUGACCCAAUCAAAGUCUUACCCAGAUUCUUGGAAGCAUUGUUCUUAAUUACAAGGCAAGAAACAUAGGAUUGAUACAAACCCAUCCAAAUUAUGCCUCAUGUAAUAGAAGUCAGUGGGAAGCCAGCUGCCCCUAUUUUCUUAGAGACACAGAGAUUCACGGUCUGUACCAACCAGAACACUAAGCGGGCACCCAUGUGCCAUGGAAGUCCUGCUUUUUGAGGAUGCCAGUACUACAUCUAUUUGGAGAUAGCACCUCCCAGGAAAUAACUGGCCAGGAAGUGUGUGUAUACGUGGGGGAGGGGUAGGAAGAAGGAGAACCAGCAAUUUGUACUGUAUCUUGGGAGGUGUAACUUUAACUUUACAAGCUAAACACUACAGGCAAGGGUGGAGACAGGAAGAUUCCUAAUAGCAGGACACUCUAUCAAUUGCAGUUUUGCAGGUGACUCUGUGGGUCACAAGAAUAGAGAACCAGAUGGGGAAUGUGCUACCUCAGUAGAAUGAAAAUGUUAUUUGGUGCAUGUCUGCUAGAAACUGAAAAUUGGUCUGGACUCAUGCAUGUCAACUUGUACUUCAGGUCUGAAAAGGGGAUGCAUAUGUAUAAAAUUCAACAGAAUGUACAAAUAAUUAAGAUUAAUAAGUGACCUGAGCAAGGAUGCAGAAUACAAGGUCAAUUAAUUUCUAUGUACUAGCAAUAAAUAAUUUUAAAUGAAGUAAAAAUACUAUAUACAACAUAAAAUCAUCAAAUAUUAAAGAAUAAAUACAAUAGAAUAUGUUUAAGAUCUCUACAUUGAAAACUAUAAAACACUGAAGGGAAAAUGUUUAAAAGACCAAAAUAAAUGGAGGAAUAUACCAUGUUUGUGGAUCAAAGCAUACAAUAUUGUUAAGACGUCAAUCCUCACUAAAUUCUAUUGUAAUCCCAAUCCAAAUCCCAAAUAUUCUUCUACAAUAUGGCUUUGCCACUGCCCCAUCAAUAGAAGUUUACUUUUUCUCUCUUUGAAUCUAGAUAGGCUUAUAUGCUUCAUGGCUUCCUCGGCAGGUGAUAAAUGGCAAUUCAGCUUCAACCUGGAUUACAGGAAUAGCCAUUGUUUUAGACUUCAACUGUCACGUAAGCAGUUCAGCUGAACUGAGGCACCAUGACGUGAGGAAGCCCAAAGUCAGCCUAUCUGGAGGGAUCACAUGGAGAGGUCCCAAGACUACACAAAAAGAAGAUGAUAUGAAUGCCUGGCCAGCCCCUAGCUGCUCUAGUUCCUUGCUGUUCCAGCUCCAGCCAUCAUCCAACUGCAACUGCAUGAGAGACCCCAGAAGCAUAGAGCUAAGCCCUUCCCAAAUUCCUUCCCACAGAAACCCUGAGAGAUAAUAAAUGACUGUUGUUGUUUUCAAUCACUGUUUUGAAAUUGGUUGUUAGGCAGCAAGAGAAGCCAGAACAGGGACCUUGGAAUACACAGAAUUUCUUAAUCAGGAUACAAAAAGAGCUAACCACAAGCUUUAAAAAAUGAUACAUUGGAUUUCAUUAAAAUUAAGAACUUCAGUUUAUCAGAAGAUACUACUUAUCAGAAGAGAGUGAGAAGGUAAGUGACAAAAUGGGAGAAGUUUUCACAAACCAUAUCUGACAAAAGGACUUGUAUACAGUAUGUAAAAGAAUGCCAAAAAGUAAGAAGAAAAAGACAACAAACAACCCAAUAAAGAUGUUCACAAAACCCUUAAACAGUCACUUUAUAAAAGAGAGUGUCUAAAUAGCUAAUAAGCAUAUAUCAAGUUUUCAAUAUUAUUAUUCAUCAGGAAAUAGGAAUUGAAACCACAAUGAGAAACCACCAUACACUCAUCAGAAUGGCUAAAAUCAAAACUAACAAGAGUAAGCAUUGGCAGUGAUGUGGAGAAAUUGGAACCUUUAUAUAUUGCGGAUGGUAGUAUAAAACAGUGUGACCGAUUUGGAAAAUUGUUUGGCAAUAUCCAUUAAGCUAAAUAUAGUUCUACCUUAUGACCCAGAUAUUUCACUGCUAGGUAUAUACCCACUAGAAAAGAGUUCAUAUGUUCACCAAAAGGUAUAUACAACAAUGUUCACAGCGCCUUAAUUAAU
This 5499-nucleotide long non-coding RNA is filed under the name Homo sapiens (human). RNAcentral's name for it is "HSALNT0033786". The record is from RNAcentral. Lineage: Eukaryota; Metazoa; Chordata; Mammalia; Primates; Hominidae.